Long non-coding RNA from Bos taurus (domestic cattle), 3867 nucleotides. Lineage: Eukaryota; Metazoa; Chordata; Mammalia; Artiodactyla; Bovidae. The record is from Ensembl.
AGAACAAGGAGCGCUGUUUCGAAGGCGCGGCUAGAGGGGCCCCUUCCUCCACCCCCGCUUUUCCGAGGGUUCCUGGUCGGCUCUCCCAGCAGCCCCUCCCGCACAGCCCAGCUGCGGGCGGGAGGCGAGGCGUCGGGCCGGGGUGUGGUAGCACCUCCCGGAAGGCGGUUUUGCCCUGUGCGCUUGCAGAUUUGGAGUGGGGGAGGGGAGGCGCGCUGCCGGCGGCUCCCUGGAUGUCAGCGGUUCCCUCCAGGAAAGGGAGUCGGCCCAGAGGUCUUGACCCUGUCCCGCGGGCUCCUGGGGACGCCUAGCUCGGGGUGGCCCGAGCGAGGCGCCCCGGCUGGCCGCGCGCGGCCACGGACUGCGGCAGCUCCUCCGGCCGCCGUAGUCGCUGGCGACCGGGUGACAUUUUGAGGGGUCCCCGGCUGCCCCUGCUUCCCAACCCGUGACGGGCCGGCUGAGGUUGUUGACGAUCAGGGCUGCUUUCCUUUUAAGAUGUACUUUCCAAAUAAGAUAACUUGCUUGCCUGCUUUUCUCCUGAAAUUUUUCUCCAGAAGAAUGGUCAUGUAUGGAUGUGAGAGUUGGACUAUGAAGAAAACUGAGCGCUGAAGAAUUGAUGCUUUUGAACUGUGGUGUUGGAGAAGACUCUUGAGAGUCUCUUGGACUGCAAGGAGAUCCAACCAGUCCAUCCUACAGGAAAUUAGUCCUGGGUGUUCAUUGAUAGGACUGAUGUUGAAGCUUAAAUUUCAAUACUUUGGCCACCUGGUGCAAAGAACUGACUCAUUAGAAAAGACCUUGAUGCUGGGAAAGAUUGAGGGCAGGAAGAGAAGGGGACGGGACAGAGGAUGAGAUGGUUGGAUGGCAUCAUCGACUCAAUGGAUAUGGGUUUGGGUGAAUUCUGGGAGUUGGUGAUAGACAGGGAGGCCUGGCAUGCUGCGGUUCAAGGGGUCGCAAAGAGACAGGACUGAGCGACAGAACUGAACUGAACCAUCUCAAUCUCUGGCAUAAAAUCACUUCCUCAAACUACUUGCUGACAUGUGAAAUUUCUUAAGAGGGAAAACCAAAUUUGUAUUCCAUAGCCAUUGGUAAGAGUUUAAUGUUUAAGUGGCUGAAGAUUGUGUAUUGGCAGUAAGUUAGACUGGUGCCAGCCCUGUGGAAAACUAGUAUCCCUUCUCUGUGUUGACAUCAGAAAUUCCAUGCCUCAGGAGGUUCCCAGUGUUUCAGAUAACACACUGAAAUGUUAGAGCCUCAUUGAAUUCAGCAUUUAUGAAGCAAAACCUGCAGGAACAACUGCAGUAUUUAAGAAAGACAGAAAAAAAAAAAAAGAGUUCAUUUGAGAUUUUAAACAAAUCACUUUUAUCCAGAACAGGAUAUACACACUUAAGUCAAGAAAUCAUAGUUUUAAUCUGCUAAAUACACUCUACAGGUUAGGAUUCCAGGUUUUCACCGCCCUGGCCCAGGAUUAGUUCCUGGCAGGAAACAGAUCCUGCAAGCUGUGUGGCAUGGCCAAAAAAUUUUUUAAAUAAAUAAAUAUACUCUACAAAUGGAGUAAGCAAAUUUGUGCUCAGAAGUGGAAUACACAUUCCGUUCAACAACCUAGAAUAAACUGUCCGGAAGAAAGUGCAAGCAGAACCAGUUUCUUACGCAAGGUACACAUAGUUGAGCCUCUUCUGCAACCAUGCUGAACAUUUACUCAUUUGCAGGACAGCCUCAGGAGGAUUUAAGCUUUUUCUUAAAGAAUUCGCUUGUGAUUUUAGGUGAAGUAACCAUUUGCCCUGGAGAAGGCAAUGGCACCCCACUCCAGUAUUCUUGCCUGGAAAACCCCAUGGAUGGAGGAGCCUGGUGGGCUGCAGUCCAUGGGGUCGAGAAGAGUUGGACAUGACUCAGCGACUUCACUUUCACUUUUCCCUUUCAUGCAUUGGAGAAGGAAAUGGCAACCCACUCCGGUGUUCUUGCCUGGAGAAUCCUGGGGACGGGGGAGCCUGGUGGGCUUCCGUCUAUGGGGUCGCACAGAGUUGGACAUGACUGAAGUGACUUAGCAACCAUUUGCCCAAAAAGUGAACAUUCUCAGUCAUCAUUCUUGGUUACCAGGAAGCUCUCUUUGCACUUAGAAAACAUAGAGUCCCUGUCAUUGUGAACUGUCAGAUUUUAGCUUUAGCAAGUCUGUCAUAGAGUUUGAGUUAUGCUUGACCACAGAGAUGUCAGUAGGGUGCCUUUUAAUUCAGUUAAAGCCUAGCUCAAAACAGAUUCAAACAAUUUUAAAAAGUAAUUAUCCCAUAUCCAACUGCCUACUUAACUUCUGCACAUGGUUGUCCCACAGGCACCUCAAGGUUUAAGUGUGCAAGACUGAGCUCACGCUCCCUACGAAUCCGCUUCUUUGGUCUUCCUUCUUGUCUUGGUAACUGACUCUUCCACCCACUGGUGUGCUCCUGGCAAAAAUCAGGGAAUCCUUGAUACCGCCCCCACCUUCACCCUGCAUCUCCAAUCAGUCACCAACUCCUACCUCUAAAAUAUGUCUUCAUUCAUCCAAAUGCUUCUUAGAACAUUAAUGGUGGGUUAUUAAAGCUAGAUUUAUUCACAUUCAACCAUGUAACACAUGACAAGGUACAUUUCUGGCACUGGGAAUGUAACAGUGACCAAAGCAGACGUCUUUGAUCUUAUGGAACUGACAUUCUAGUGGAAGAGACAAACAAUAGGCAAAAUGUAGUAUAAUCUUAGGUAGUGAUAGGAAGAAUUAGCAAGGUGCUAGAGAUAGAGUAGGGGCUUUCCAGGUGACACAGCAGUAAAGACACCUCCUGCCAAUGCAGGAGAUGCAAGAACCUGGGUUCUAUCCCUGUGUGGGGAAAAAUCCCCUGAAAUAGGAAAUGGCAAGCCACCACAGUAUUCUUGCCUGGAAAACUCCAUGGACAGAGGAACCUGGCGGUCUACAGUCUAUAGGCUUGCAGAGUUGGACACGACUGAGUAACUAAAUACGCACACAGAGGGUAUGUAUUUGUUUUGGCUUUAGUUGCAGCAUGCAAACUCUCGGUUGCAGCAUGUGAGGUCUAGUUCCCCAACCAGGGAUCGAACCCAGGUUCCCUGCAUUGGGAGUUCGGAGUCUUAGCCCUCGGACCACCAGGGAAGUCCUGAUUUUGUGCUAUUUUAGAUAGUGUUCAGAGAAGACCCUUCAAGGAGGUACUGUUUUAAAUAGAACCCUGAAGGAGGUGAGGAAGAAAGUCGUACACAUAGCUCAGGGAAGACUUUACAAGACAAAGACAGAACUGUGCUGGGCACUUUCAGUGAACAAUAGAGUCCAACGUGGAUGAACAGAAUGAAGGCAAGAAAGCAUAACAGAGCAUUCCUAAAAGAGACCCAGAAACCAGGUCACCCAGGACUUUGUAAGCUCCAUUAGUUAGCACUUCGCUUUUAUUAUCAAUGUGAUGAGAAACUAUAGGAGGGUUUUGAGCAGGGGGAGAAUGUGACCUCACUUAAAGUGGCCAGAAGAAUCCAGAUUAAUGAUAAUCUGGAUUCAAGUAAUCUAGAUCAUUCUGGAUGUUGUACAGACCGUGGAAUGGUAGCAGGAAAAUGAGUCAGAAGGCGGUUGUCAUGAGGGGCCUUUCACCACUGAUUUCUGCUGAUGACAGGCUAAUCUCCAAAUAAAGUGUUUCUUAUGUGUGGUCAUAUGAGUGUAUUUUUUCCUAAAGUGACUUUCUACAAAGAAAAACACGCUUUGAUACAGCAAAGGAUCAUUGCAAAUAAAACCAAGAAUUGAGUUACUAAUAACAUUUCCCAUAAAAAAUAAGAUGAACAUUUUCAUUAAGUUCAGUACUUUUUCCUUUUUUACCUGCCCCUUUCUGAAGCCCUGGGGUGAAAUUUUGGUUAACUGCU